CGAGGAGCGACGCGUCGUGAGGGAGGCUGAGGUGGCGGAAACCGGAGCAAGGAGCGCACCGGGGAGGGUGUUUGUCCCGGGUUUUUCUGCACCGAUAAUGAAACGCCGGUGGUCGUAAAAGAGAGAAUGAAGAGGAGAAGUAGCCCUGCAGAGGUUUGUUUGGACUUCCAGAUUGACGGGUUCCUAAUGUCGAGCCCCUCCCCUGCACUGAAAUCAGAGUCAGAAGCCCCCAGAGAAAUGCCUGCUAGAAUUUAUCAACCCUUCAGCUUCCAGCAACACAGCAAAAAAUACUAAUUAUGAGUGAUCAGACUUAAAGUCUUCCAUAAAACAGCAAUAAAAUGAGAUAUAAUGAUAAUAAAGACUAUUCUAAUCUA
This is a long non-coding RNA of Solea senegalensis (Senegalese sole), 374 nucleotides long. RefSeq lists it as uncharacterized. The record is from RefSeq and is a predicted model, not a curated record. NCBI's taxonomy places the organism in Eukaryota, Metazoa, Chordata, Actinopteri, Pleuronectiformes, Soleidae. The transcript has 2 exons.